This 496-nucleotide ribosomal RNA is filed under the name uncultured bacterium. RNAcentral describes it as "partial 16S ribosomal RNA". It matches the Rfam family "Bacterial small subunit ribosomal RNA", at positions 899 to 1397 of the family's 1533-position model. The record is from RNAcentral.
ACUCAAAUGAAUAGACGGGGGCCCGCACAAGCGGCGGAGCAUGCGGCUUAAUUCGAUGCAACGCGAAGAACCUUACCUGGGCUUGACAUGCAGGGUGAAACCCGUGAAAGCGGGCGCUCUUCGGAGCCUGCACAGGUGGUGCAUGGCUGUCGUCAGCUCGUGCCGUGAGGUGUUGCCUUAAGUGGCGCAACGAGCGCAACCCCUGUCCUUAGUUGCCAGCGGGUCAUGCCGGGAACUCUAGGGAGACUGCCGGUGCCAAACCGGAGGAAGGUGGGGAUGACGUCAAGUCAUCAUGCCCCUUAUGUCCAGGGCUGCACGCAUGCUACAAUGCGCGGUACAGAGGGCUGCGAUCCCGUAAGGGGGAGCGAAUCCCAGAAAGCCGCGCUCAGUUCGGAUCGAGGUCUGCAACCCGACCUCGUGAAGUCGGAGUCGCUAGUAAUCGCGGAUCAGCAAUGCCGCGGUGAAUACGUUCCCGGGCCUUGCACACACCGCCCGU